CCCCUAGAUGUUCUGGGCCGCACGCGCGCUACACUGAACAGUUCAACAAGUCUUAACCUUGGCCGAUAGGUCUGGGUAAUCUUUGAACGCUGUUCGUGAUUGGGAUAGACCUUUGCAAUUAUGGGUCUUCAACGAGGAAUUCCUAGUAAACGCAAGUCAUCAGCUUGCAUUGAUUACGUCCCUGCCCUUUGUACACACCGCCCGUCGCACCUACCGAUUGAAUGGUCCGGUGAAAUCUCGGGACGGCGGCUUGGUCGCUUGCGUCCGACUGCUGAAACUUGAUUAAACCAUAUCAUUUAGAGGAAGGUGCAGUCGUAACA
RNAcentral lists this ribosomal RNA (320 nucleotides) under uncultured eukaryote. RNAcentral describes it as "partial 18S ribosomal RNA". It matches the Rfam family "Eukaryotic small subunit ribosomal RNA", at positions 1470 to 1796 of the family's 1831-position model. The record is from RNAcentral.